AGAGUUUGAUCCUGGCUCAGAAUGAACGCUGACGGCGUGCUUAACACAUGCAAGUCGUACGAGAACUCCCGAGCUUGCUCGGGAUAGUAAAGUGGCGCACGGGUGAGUAUCGCGUGGGUUAUCUACCCUCGAGUUCGGGAUAACAUUGCGAAAGCGGUGCUAAUACCGAAUAAUAUCCUUAGAUUUUCGGAUUUUUGGAUCAAAGGUGGCCUCUAUUUAUAAGCUACCACUUGAGGAGGAGCCCGCGUACCAUUAGCUAGUUGGCGGGGUAAUGGCCCACCAAGGCUGCGAUGGUUAGCUGGUCUGAGAGGAUGAUCAGCCACACUGGAACUGACACACGGUCCAGACUCCUACGGGAGGCAGCAGUGAGGAAUCUUGCGCAAUGGGGGAAACCCUGACGCAGCAACGCCGCGUGAGUGAUGAAGGCUUUCGGGUCGUAAAGCUCUGUCAAGUGGGAAGAAACUGCCAUAUAUUAAUAAUAUUUGGCACUGACGGUACCACUGAAGGAAGCACCGGCUAACUCCGUGCCAGCAGCCGCGGUAACACGGGGGGAGCAAGCGUUGUCCGGAAUUACUAGGCGUAAAGGGCAAGUAGGCGGAAUUGUAAGUCAGAUGUUAAAGGCACUGGCUCAACCGGUGUACGGCAUUUGAUACUGUGAUUCUAGAGUAAGGUGGGGGAAGAUGGAAUUCCUGGUGUAGCGGUGGAAUGCGCAGAUAUCAGGAAGAACACCAGAGGCGAAGGCGAUCUUCUAUACCAUUACUGACGGUAUAUUGCGAAGGUGUGGCUAUCAUACAGGAUUAGAUACCCUGGUAGUACACACAGUAAACGAUAUACAUCUAGGUGUUGGGGGAGAUGAUCUUACAGUGCCGUAGCUAACGCGUUAAGUGUAUCGCCUGGGUAGUACGAUCGCAAGGUUUAUAUCUCAAAGGAAUUGACGGGGGCCCGCACAAGCGGUGGAGCAUGUGGUUUAAUUCGAUGCAACGCGAAGAAUCUUACCUGGGCUUGACAUCCUGGGAAACCUGUAUAGAUACCGGGGUGCCCUUUCGGGGGAACCCAGUGACACGUGCUGCAUGGCUGUCGUCAGCUCGUGUCGUGAGAUGUUUGGUUCAGUCCAGCAACGAACGCAACCCCUAUCUUUAGUUACCAUCAUUAAGUUGGGGACUCUAAAGAUACUGCCCCGGUCAACGGGGAGGAAGGUGGGGAUGACGUCAAGUCCUCAUGGCCUUUAUAUCCAGGGCUACACACGUGCUACAAUGGGCUGUACAAAGGGUCGCAAACUCGCGAGGGUGAGCUAAUCCCAUAAAGCAGCUCUAAGUUCGGAUUGGAGUCUGCAACUCGACUCCAUGAAGUUGGAAUCGCUAGUAAUCGCGGAUCAGCAUGCCGCGGUGAAUACGUUCCCGGGCCUUGUACACACCGCCCGUCACACCAUGAGAGUUGGUUGUACCAGAAGUUGUUGGGCCAACCCGCAAGGGGGGUAGGCACCUAAGGUAUGGCUGAU
This 1498-nucleotide ribosomal RNA is filed under the name uncultured delta proteobacterium. RNAcentral's name for it is "bacterial SSU rRNA". It matches the Rfam family "Bacterial small subunit ribosomal RNA". The record is from RNAcentral. Lineage: Bacteria; Deltaproteobacteria.